This 1052-nucleotide ribosomal RNA is filed under the name uncultured archaeon. RNAcentral's name for it is "bacterial SSU rRNA". It matches the Rfam family "Archaeal small subunit ribosomal RNA", at positions 88 to 1142 of the family's 1478-position model. The record is from RNAcentral.
GCUCRKUAACACGUGGAUAACGGGMCCUAGAGUGGAGGAUAAUCUCGGGAAAUUGAGGAUMAUACUCCAUAGAUCAUGAAUUCUGGAACGACUCAUGGUUGAAAGUUCCGGCGCUCUAGGAUCGGUCUGCGGCCUAUCAGGUAGUAGUGGGUGUAACGGACCCACUAGCCGACGACGGGUAUGGGCCUUGAGAGAGGGAGCCCAGAGAUGGAAUCUGAGACACGAUUCCAGGCCCUACGGGGCGCAGCAGUCGCGAAAACUUCACAAUGGAGGCAACUCCGAUGAGGGAAUUCCAAGUGCUAGCACAUUAGUGUUAGCUUUUCUUAAGCAUAGAUAACUUAAGGAAUAAGGGCUGGGUAAGACGGGUGCCAGCCGCCGCGGUAAUACCCGCAGCCCAAGUGGUGGUCGAUUUUAUUGAGUCUAAAACGUUCGUAGCCGGUUCAUUAAAUCCUUGGGUAAAUCGGAUGGCUUAACUAUCCGAAUUCCGGGGAGACUGGUGAACUUGGGACCGGGAGAGGCAAGAGGUACUUUUGGGGUAGGGGUAAAAUCCUGUAAUCCUAAAAGGACCACCGGUGGCGAAGGCGUCUUGCUAGAACGGAUCCGACGGUGAGGGACGAAGCCCUGGGUCGCAAACGGGAUUAGAUACCCCGGUAGUCCAGGGUGUAAACGCUGCAGACUUGGUGUUGGGGACCCUUCGGGGGUGUUCAGUGCCGGAGAGAAGUUGUUAAGUCUGCUACUUGGGGAGUACGUCCGCAAGGAUGAAACUUAAAGGAAUUGGCGGGGGAGCACCGCAACGGGAGGAACGUGCGGUUUAAUUGGAUUCAACACCGGAAAACUCACCAGCAGCGACUAUUACAUGAAAGUCAGGCCGAUGACCUUACUAGAUUUUUAGAGAGGUGGUGCAUGGCCGUCGUCAGUUCGUACCGUAAGGCGUUCUCUUAAGUGAGAUAACGAACGAGACCCUCACCAAUAAUUGCUACUGCGUCGUCCGCGGCGUAGGCACAUUAUUGGGACCGCUGGCGCUAAGUCAGAGGAAGGAGUGGACGACGGUA